GAGCCACUGUGUAACAGAGGGAUUAUGCUGAUAGCUGGAGAGACAGUGUGACUCGCCUCAAUUCGGGUAGCGGAGGACAAAUCUUAGUUGCCUCCAUGUCUGAGACCGUCAACCAGCGCAACUUAUCGCAUGGCUUGUUGAGCGCGUUACUGUGGAGACAUAGCGCAUGUGGGGGCUUCACGCCAUCCACCACGGAAUCCAUGCACAACUCACCAUGUGCCCACCCGAGAGUGAACCACAUUAUGGCGACCAUGAGGAGGUUACCCCAUGUGAUUCUACCCUCCCUAGCAACCGGGCCAAUUUGGUUGCUUAGGAGACCUGGCUGGAAUCACUCAGCAAGCCCUGGGAUUCGAACUCCUGAGCUCCAGAUGUGUUCUGGUGAAGAAAGAAAGUCAUACACACCUGGGAUAUCAUGAGGGUGAGUAAAUAAUUAGAGAAUUUUCAUUUUUGGGUGAAGUAUCCCUUUAAAUGUCUUUUCUGCGCAAGAAGCUGAAAAACAGCAAGACGCAGUGCAACGGUCAAAGACCUCCGUCUAGCAUAUGUUCACAUAGAACAACGAGAAAACAUCGCUGAAAGGCCCGUUCUUUAUUGAGAAUGGCAUCCUUCUCCGCCAUUGACUCUGGACCUCCACCCUCUAUUGGCAACACAGACUGCAGGUCGUCUGAAUAUCAUGCCAGCUUCUUUCCACUAUAACUCCCGUCUCUGCUAGCUGCAUAAAUUCUCAUUGGCUUUUACGAUUUGUAUACACAAUGAUGCCUGUGUGAGGAGUCGGGCAGUGAGGUUUCACUUAGGCAUGAAGACAUGAAAAAAAUAUUUUUAAAAAAUGAAUGAAAGUGGAAAAAUUAUUUUGGCUGCUGGGGCUCAGUUGGUCUUUCUGGAAUUCUCUUUUUCUCUCCCCCGUUUCUGAGUUUCUCUACCAAUCCAUAUCUUUACAGCCACUGUUGCUAAUUGAAUCCCUUUAUGUUAUAUCGCAUCUCUGUAGUUUGAUUGUUUUAAGAAUGAAAGAUAGUUUGCUUCCACUUUAUUGUUCCUGAAUCAGUUGUGGUUGCAGUGGAUGAUUUUCUUUCCAGAAGCACUAUAAGGAAGUCAGCUUCUGGAGGAUCAAGCUCUAUGGCAGCAUAUCUGGAACAGAGGUGCAGAGAGACCAUAGAUGUUCUUUUAUCAUUUUGUCUGGAAUUCACUUUGAGGUCUGGGUCUUGAAAGUGCUAACUAUCUGAUUGGAGGGAGACACCAGACGGCGAGGGAGGCACAGAUGCUCUGUGUCUAUAGAAUAGCCCUCUCAAUUACAGCAUGGCCAAAUUGAAACGGAUCCCGAUUUAACUCUCUUUCCAAUAAACCUCACAGCAGCUUUGCCAGCCUCUCUCUUUCUCCAGCAAUGGACCUCUCUGAUGCAGCAUGUCCAGAUAGGCUGCCAGACACAGCAGGGAGAGCAUCGAUUCUCAAUAACAUCGCUAAUGACUGCACACUGCCUGAUGCAUGCUGCCAUUACUGGAGGUGAGGGCCAGGACUGAGGGCAGGCCCAAGUGUGGCACACCAGAUGGAGCCGGUUAGGAAUGGUUAUGAGGAUGAAUUGUUUGUCAGUUUGAGAAGAAAGAUUGAGAGAAUAAGAAAAUGAAAUAGAUUGACUUCCCUGCUGAAAAGACCAGGUCAUACCACAGUGAAUUUCCAUGCUGGUCUAUGCUGUUUUAUGCUGAUAAGUGCUGGUUUGGUGCAGAAAAUGCUUCUCAACCAGCAUGGUCUUUCUGUUAAAGCUGGGUGAAUAAGGAAGUCUUGCUAGUUAAGGUAGUUAAAGGGAUACUGCACCCAAAAAAAUACAAAAUAAAAAUAAUGAAUUAACUCACACUCAUAUUGUUCCAAAGCCAUAUGACUUUCUUUCUUCUGUGAAAAAUAAAAGUAUAUGUUAGGCAGAU
Molecule: long non-coding RNA, 1910 nt
Organism: Myxocyprinus asiaticus (Chinese sucker)
Lineage: Eukaryota; Metazoa; Chordata; Actinopteri; Cypriniformes; Catostomidae
Exons: 4
Source: RefSeq, a predicted model, not a curated record